Molecule: transfer RNA, 75 nt
Filed under: Kordiimonadaceae bacterium
Lineage: Bacteria; Pseudomonadati; Pseudomonadota; Alphaproteobacteria; Kordiimonadales; Kordiimonadaceae
Description: tRNA-Ala
Rfam family: tRNA
About the family: Transfer RNA (tRNA) molecules are approximately 80 nucleotides in length. Their secondary structure includes four short double-helical elements and three loops (D, anti-codon, and T loops).
Source: RNAcentral
GCCAAUAUUGCUCAGUGGCAGAGCGCACCCUUGGCAAGGGUUGGGCCGAGAGUAGGGUUCUCUCUAGCGGUACCA